RNAcentral lists this ribosomal RNA (494 nucleotides) under uncultured bacterium. Its description in RNAcentral is "bacterial SSU rRNA". It matches the Rfam family "Bacterial small subunit ribosomal RNA", at positions 8 to 521 of the family's 1533-position model. The record is from RNAcentral.
AGGGUUUGAUUAUGGCUCAGAAUGAACGUUGGCGGCGUGGAUUAGGCAUGCAAGUCGAACGGGCCGCAAGGCCAGUGGCGCAAGGGUGAGUAAGGCGACGGUAACCAACCCCGGGAUUGGGGAUAGCCGCGGGAAACCGCGGGUAAUCCCCAGCGACGCGACGACGCCGGCAUCGGCGUCUCGCCAAAGCCCCGGCGUCCCGGGACGGGCUGUCGUGGUAUUAGCUUGUUGGCGGGGUAAUGGCCCACCAAGGCUCUGAUGCCUACCGGGCGUGCGAGCGUGGCCCGGCACACUGGGACUGAGACACUGCCCAGACUCCUACGGGAGGCUGCAGUCGAGAAUCUUCGGCAAUGGGCGCAAGCCUGACCGAGCGACGCCGCGUGGAGGACGAAGGCCUUCGGGUUGUAAACUCCUGUCGAGGGGGAAAAAGGGCCGCAAGGCCUUGAUUGAUCCCUGGAGGAAGCACGGGCUAAGUUCGUGCCAGCAGCCGCGGU